AAAUGUAAGUAGGAGCGCCCGCUUCUCGCCUUGUGACGUAAGUUGCCUGGCUGAUACGUAAAUAAACCGACCACGGUUGAGUGGUUGGGGAUUUAACGGGUGCUUUAGCGCCCGUUUUUUCUUUGCAAC
The sequence is a regulatory RNA element, 129 nucleotides long. It matches the Rfam family "Ribosomal protein L20 leader". From Rfam's summary of the family: This family is a putative r-protein leader autoregulatory structure found in B. subtilis and other low-GC Gram-positive bacteria. The record is from Rfam.